This 88-nucleotide transfer RNA is filed under the name Longimonas halophila. RNAcentral's name for it is "tRNA-Leu". It matches the Rfam family "tRNA". From Rfam's summary of the family: Transfer RNA (tRNA) molecules are approximately 80 nucleotides in length. Their secondary structure includes four short double-helical elements and three loops (D, anti-codon, and T loops). Further hydrogen bonds mediate the characteristic L-shaped molecular structure. tRNAs have two regions of fundamental functional importance: the anti-codon, which is responsible for specific mRNA codon recognition, and the 3' end, to which the tRNAs corresponding amino acid is attached (by aminoacyl-tRNA synthetases). tRNAs cope with the degeneracy of the genetic code in two manners: having more than one tRNA (with a specific anti-codon) for a particular amino acid; and 'wobble' base-pairing, i.e. permitting non-standard base-pairing at the 3rd anti-codon position. The record is from RNAcentral. Lineage: Bacteria; Pseudomonadati; Rhodothermota; Rhodothermia; Rhodothermales; Salisaetaceae.
GCCCAAGUGGCGGAAUUGGUAGACGCGCUGGCUUCAGGAGCCAGUGUCCAUUGCGGACGUGGAGGUUCGAGUCCUCUCUUGGGCACCC